Molecule: long non-coding RNA, 692 nt
Organism: Bos taurus (domestic cattle)
Lineage: Eukaryota; Metazoa; Chordata; Mammalia; Artiodactyla; Bovidae
Source: Ensembl
UCUCAGGAGGCUCUGGCACCCUAGUGCCUGGGGCCUGUGCUACCUCCUGUCUCUGCCAGGACACCCGCAGUCCCUGGUGGACAGCCAGGCCCCCUCCACAGCCUGGGGCUGAGGGGGUACUUCCUUCUCACUUCUGCUCAGGAAACUGGAGAAGACUCAUGAUUACAGCUUUGAACCAGCUCCAACAGACCCGCUGCUUCCAAGAAGCCAUCCUUGACGCCGUGCCUGCAUGGCACCCUCCCUCCUAGGGCUCCUCCUGCUGCUCUUCUCCCCUGCACCUCCGGCCGGUAUUUACUUUUCCCUCAGAGUCAGACACAGCUGAACAUCUAAGCACACUCGCUCAAUGGAGCACCGUAUUAUUCCAGUACGGGAAUGCUGCAGGCUAUACUAGAACGUUCAGAGGCUCAACACAGGCUUGGAUCCGAAGCCUGGCUCAGUCACUUACUAGCUGGACCAAUUCAGAUAAGCUGUGCUGGAUCUUAGUUGGGACAUCAGGGGUCUAUUUGUGGCAUGCAAGAUCUAGUUCCCUGACCAGGGAUUGAACCCGGGCUCCCUGCAUUGGGCACAUGGCGUUUAAGCCACUGGACCACCAAGGAAGUCCCCUCGCCUUCCUUUGUCUUCACUACAAGUCUCCUAUCAGCAGCUCUCCAAACCUGGUCUCUUUGGUCCCGGGCUUUGGGGCCACAUCAGGC